RNAcentral lists this long non-coding RNA (299 nucleotides) under Prunus persica (peach). Its description in RNAcentral is "long non-coding RNA (PPER_LNC007810)". Lineage: Eukaryota; Viridiplantae; Streptophyta; Magnoliopsida; Rosales; Rosaceae. The record is from RNAcentral.
CGGAUUCAAAGGAUUAGUGCACCGUUCAAGGCAACAUAACAACAUUCCUUUGGAAGGACCUUUCCCUUUGGGGGUAGGAAAAUCAUGAUCGGGAUAGCGGACCCAAAGCUAUGGAAUUUGGGCGUGGGUCUUUUGUCGAAAUGGAAUGGCCUUACUUUUUCUUUUGAUUUAUUUAUCGUUAAUGACGGCUUAAUUAAGUAUAGUAUGCCCGGCCCUAAUCAGCAUAUUUUUUUGUUUUACGGUGGAACUCUAUGAACAAAUAAAAAAACACAAAGGAUUAAACUUGUUUAUUUUACUUA